Molecule: ribosomal RNA, 377 nt
Filed under: Nematoda sp.
Lineage: Eukaryota; Metazoa; Nematoda
Description: bacterial SSU rRNA
Rfam family: Eukaryotic small subunit ribosomal RNA
Source: RNAcentral
CUAAAUAACUGACCAAAUCGCUGCGGUCUUACCACCGGCGAUGUAUCUUUCAGGUGGCUGCCUUAUCUGCUUUCGGUGGUAGUUUAUGUGCCUACCAUGGUUGUAACGGGUAACGAAGAAUUAGGGUUCGACUCCGGAGAGGGAGCCUGAGAAACGGCUACCACUUCUAAGGAAGGCAGCAGGCGCGCAAAUUACCCACUCUCGGCACGAGGAGGUAGUGACGAAAAAUAACGAGACGGUUAUCUUAUGAUUACCGUCAUUGGAAUGAGAACAAUCUAAACCUUUUAACGAGGACCUAGUGGAGGGCAAGUCUGGUGCCAGCAGCCGCGGCAAUUCCAGCUCCGCCAGUGUAUAUCUAUGCUGCUGCGGAUAAAAAG